This is a long non-coding RNA of Balaenoptera acutorostrata (minke whale), 1938 nucleotides long. RefSeq lists it as uncharacterized. The record is from RefSeq and is a predicted model, not a curated record. NCBI's taxonomy places the organism in Eukaryota, Metazoa, Chordata, Mammalia, Artiodactyla, Balaenopteridae. The transcript has 5 exons.
GGGGGCUGUUGACGUCUGCGGCCGCUGCGUUGUGCGCAGUCGGGCUAAGAGCGGCGACCGGCUCGGGCUGGUGUGGGAGCAGAGAAGUUUCCCGCCGAGUGGUCGCCAGACACCUCUGCCGAGUUGUGGCGGCCGGGCGGGGUCGCAGGGCUGUGGAGGCAGGGAGCCAGGUCGGCUGCAGGCCCGGCCGGGACGCUCGCCCUCCCCCUCCCUUUCUCCAUCCCCUCCCCUCCCCCACGCUCACGUGCUCCUGACCCCAAAGCGAAAGACGAUUGCCCAGCAGGUCACUGUGAAGUUGGGACACGUGAGUUGGCAGAGAUGAACUCUUACUGCAGUGCACACCAACCCAGAGACGGCUAAACGAGCAUUCCCGCAGUCCUGCACUCGGCUGACCAGGAGAGAAGAGCUUAUGAACUGGAUGAAAAGGUCUUGUCUUGAGCCCGUGCAAUUACCUCCUCUUCGUCCCCACAAUCCACUGAAAUGGGAAGAAAUUAAACAGAGAGAGAAGAAAAGAAAAGAGGAAACUUUGUAGGACUGCUGUAAAAGAGGAAAGUGUACCACUGACGUAUAAGAAAUAUGGAACUUGGGGAAUAUGUGAAGCAGAAAGGACCAAGUGGAAGCAGAAACCUAUCAGACUUGAAUAGCAGAUUCCACAUAUAGUAGAAGAAAGACUGAAGAUAAAUGAACUCAUCCACGUUUGUCACUCAGUGGUUAUAUCGAGUGCAGUGUUGAGAAGGCGUGUGAAGGUGAGUCUGUACUGAAUGGGGAGCUCUGCUGUUAGUGAGUAGUGACUUCAGGGUUCAACGGAUUUUUCAGAUGAGCUGAAGAAAACUGCUAAGGGUCUGAUAAUUCCUAUAUCGCUCCAAAGCACAGAAUGCCAGGAAGUUUCCCCAGUAAUUUUUUUGAGGCAGGCAUAAUUCUGGUCCCCAAAUUUGCUGAAGAAAGCACUCAAAAGAAAACUAAAGAAAAAAUUCAAUUAUAAAGAUGUAGAUACCUGAAGUAAAAUAUUUUAAAUACUUCCACUGUAAACAGUUUCAAGUAAGCAGAAACACUGUGCACAGUGAAAUACAGAACUCGUGGUACCUACAGGUGAUAAAAGAAGCUCCUUUGCAGAAAUUGAAGAUUUAUAAUUCACAGAUGAGGUGGUGAAUAACAUCCGCCCGGCUUUGCCGCGUGGGGCGGUUCACAGGGUGGGCAGUGUUGCUGACCUGCUUCCCCAGGGCCUGGGAGGAAUCACCAGCAUCCCCACCAGGAGUCGGAGAACUAGGUGAGAGCUCAGGCAGGAAGUCCAGCACCUGAUUUUGAAGGUCAGACUUACAUUUGGUAUUGGUUGAGCUGGUUAUCUGUAUGUCUGUCUUGUCAUGAGAUAAGAACUAUAAUGAUUCACCUUUGUUGCCAUCUAGUACAGACAUUUCCAUAAAGCAAGCGCUAAGAAAAUCCUUGUUAAUUGAAUCUAAUCACAGGAGCUGUGGAAUAGUGGGACACUCACGGGUCUUGGAGACAAGGAUUUGGUUUCAUUCAAGCCAGGCUGCUAGUGGGUAUCUGCUUUUGUCACGUUACUUCCCUCGUGACUCGGCUGGGACACCCCCUCUGGGGAGCCUCCUCGAUGCCCCCGCAUCCUGAGCGAGCUCACUUGUGUGCUGCCACAGCCCCGUGCUUCCCUCUUCUGGGGCGGUUCGCUUCUCCUGUGUUUCCUCUGUGAGACAGUGGUGCUUGAGGCCAGAGACUCUGUGCUUUGCAUCCCUGUAUCUGCAGAGAACAGCCCUCGUCUGGACACAGUAAGGGCUGACCACACUUGAUACAUGAACAAAGGAUUUAACUUCCCUGAACUUAAUUUUUCUCCAUUUGAAAAAUGCGAACGUUAAUAAUACAUGAGAUGAAGUAAGUCAGAAAGAGAAAAACAAAUAUCUUAUAUUAACGCAUAUAUGUGGAACCUAG